CAGUAGCCGCGGUAAUACGAGGGGGGCAAGCGUUGUUCGGAAUUAUUGGGCGUAAAGGGCGCGUAGGCGGUUUGGCAAGUUUGGUGUGAAAUCUUCGGGCUCAACUCGAAGUCUGCAUCGAAAACUGCCGGCCUUGAGUAUGGGAGAGGUGAGUGGAAUUUCCGGUGUAGCGGUGAAAUGCGUAGAUAUCGGAAGGAACACCUGUGGCGAAAGCGGCUCACUGGACCAUAACUGACGCUGAGGCGCGAAAGCUAGGGGAGCAAACAGGAUUAGAUACCCCCGUAGUCCCUGUCUCUUAUAA
RNAcentral lists this ribosomal RNA (301 nucleotides) under uncultured bacterium. Its description in RNAcentral is "partial 16S ribosomal RNA". It matches the Rfam family "Bacterial small subunit ribosomal RNA", at positions 509 to 809 of the family's 1533-position model. The record is from RNAcentral.